This 497-nucleotide ribosomal RNA is filed under the name uncultured bacterium. RNAcentral's name for it is "partial 16S ribosomal RNA". It matches the Rfam family "Bacterial small subunit ribosomal RNA", at positions 30 to 523 of the family's 1533-position model. The record is from RNAcentral.
AUUGAACGCUGGCGGCAUGCCUUACACAUGCAAGUCGAACGGUAACAGGUCUUCGGAUGCUGACGAGUGGCGAACGGGUGAGUAAUACAUCGGAACGUGCCUAGUAGUGGGGGAUAACUACUCGAAAGAGUGCUAAUACCGCAUGAGAUCUACGGAUGAAAGCAGGGGAUCGCAAGACCUUGUGCUACUAGAGCGGCCGAUGGCAGAUUAGGUGGUUGGUGGGAUAAAAGCUUACCAAGCCGACGAUCUGUAGCUGGUCUGAGAGGACGAUCAGCCACACUGGGACUGAGACACGGCCCAGACUCCUACGGGAGGCAGCAGUGGGGAAUUUUGGACAAUGGGCGAAAGCCUGAUUCAGCAAUGCCGCGUGCAGGAUGAAGGCCUUCGGGUUGUAAACUGCUUUUGUACGGAACGAAAAGCCCCGGGUUAAUACCCUGGGGUCAUGACGGUACCGUAAGAAUAAGCACCGGCUAACUACGUGCCAGCCGCCGCAGUAA